Amphibalanus amphitrite is the source of this 2484-nucleotide RNA transcript. It is a transcript of the gene named palmitoyl-protein thioesterase 1-like, with no coding region annotated. The record is from RefSeq and is a predicted model, not a curated record. The transcript has 15 exons. Lineage: Eukaryota; Metazoa; Arthropoda; Thecostraca; Balanomorpha; Balanidae.
GCUGUUCGCAAGUGGUGGAGACGGGCGAGACGGGGAAGGUACAGAAAAACGUGCAGAAAUAUCAGAAAAUUACUAUUUGAAAGAACAGCGGCGUCGUCUCUUCAACGCACCAUGACUUUGGCGGUGAUUGUAGCGGCAUUUCUGCUGGUAACGGCAGUGUCGGCAAAGGAGCCAACUCCAGUCGUCAUGUGGCACGGCAUGGGAGACUCCUGCUGCCUUCCAUUCAGCAUGGGUGCCAUCAAGGAGGAAUUGGAAAAGCAGGUAGCUGGCGUGUAUGUGCGCUCACUGGAAAUCGGCUCCAGUGUUAUCCAAGAUACCCUGAACGGCUUUUUCAUGCCGAUCGACGCCCAAGUGGAGGAGGCCUGUCAGAAGAUCGCUGCUGAUGAGAGCCUCCAGGGAGGCUACAACGCCAUGGGCUUCUCCCAGGGAGGACAGUUUUUGCGGGCGGUGGCGCAGCGGUGUCCCAGCCCUCCGAUGAAGAACCUCAUCACGUUCGGUGGCCAGCACCAGGGCGUGUUCGGACUACCGCACUGCCUCGGUACCAAAGGCGUGUGCGAGGUCGUCAAGAAGCUGCUUGACUACGGAGCAUACGAAAGUUUCGUGCAGUCUCAUCUGGUGCAGGCCCAGUACUGGCACGACCCCCUCAAACAGCAGCAGUAUGUCGAGGUGUCCCAGUUCCUCGCCGACAUCAACAACGAACGGGAUGUGAAGAACGAGACGUACAAGGAGAACCUGAACAAGCUGGAGAACCUGGUGCUGGUGAUGUUCUCCAACGACACGAUGGUGGUGCCGCGCGAGUCCUCCCACUUUGGCUUCUACGCCCUGGGCCAGGACCAGGUGGUGGUGCCGCUGCAGCAGACUCCGAUCUACACUGAGGACUACUUGGGCCUGAAGCAGCUGGACGCGGACGGCAAGCUGACGAUGCUGGAGACGGAGGGCGACCACCUGCAGUUCAGCAUUGACUGGCUGGUGGAGAACAUCGUCAACGUGUAUCUCAAGUAGGAGGUCCGCACGCCUGGAGCAAACAGUUCCCGGUGGGGGACGGCCAGCGGCAGUCGCCAAUUGACAUCAUCACCGCGCAGACCAAGCCGGACGAGGCUCUGGAGGCCAGCCCGCUGGAGAUCAGCUACGACCCCAAGGACGAACAGGUCAUCGGUAACACUGGUCACGGCUGGAAGGUGGACUACACGAGCGGCACAUCCUCGAUCCGCGGCGGCCCGCUGGAGGGAGAGUACGCUCUGGCGCAGUACCACUGCCACUGGGGCCGAGAGGAGGACCGCGGCUCCGAGCAUACCAUCGACGGAAAACGGUACGCCGCCGAGCUGCACCUUGUGCACUACAACAAGAAGUAUGGCAGCUUCGCGGCGGCAGCUGACAAAAGCGAUGGCCUGGCCGUCAUAGGCAUCUUCCUCAAGAGUCGGAGCCGAGCUUGGAGUCGAAGUUGGAGGUGAAGUUGGAGUCGGAGUUGGAGUCAGAGUUGGAGUCGGAGAUGGGCGGAGAUGGAGUCGGAAUCGGAGUCGGAAGUGGAGUUGCCCAGAAAGCCGGAGUCUGAACAGUGCUACCACGACUGACUCUGAAACCCUGCUUCUAGAAGGUGGGAAAGGAGAACAAGGAGCUGCUCAAGGUGACGAACGCCAUGAAGGACAUCAAGUACAACGGCAGCAAGACCAAGAUCGAGCCCACCGACCCUGACAACUUCAUGCCCGACACGCGCGUCUACUGGACGUACGAGGGCUCGCUCACCACGCCGCCGCUGUACGAGAGCGUCACCUGGAUCGUGUUCGCCGACCCCACGGAAAUCUCCAAGGAACAGUUGGCUGAGUUCCGGCACCUGAAGCGGCACGCCAACGACGACGAGAAGGGCGAGGACAGCGACGACGACGACGGCAUCAUCGCCGACAACUACCGGCCGCCGAUGCCGACCGGCGAGCGUGCCGUGCGCAGCUGCAACGCGCCCGUCAAGUUUGUCAAGAAGCAGUGAGGGCCGCGCGCCGAGCGUCGCCCCGUGGCCGUCUCCGGCGCGGGGCGGUCCGCGCCAGACACCGCCGCUCAGCCCACCCGCGGCCGGCUGUCCAGAGACUGCCGGAGACCCGGCUCACCGCUCACCGCACUGGUGGAGACAUGCGCUUCCUGUUAGAGGCUCCCAGCGGGGCCAGCCUUAGCUACAUCAGUAGUGUUUGUCUAGGACAAUCCAGAGAUAUAUCGCAUCGUUGCGCGCCGAGAGUUGUUGAGCCGAAUUAGUUUUGUACUCGAUGUUGAUUGUUUCUGUGAGCGGCCGUCCGCGCUGACGGUUUACCGUGGCGUCGAUAUGUCGCUCGUGACCCGCCCCGCCCCGUCUGACUCUGUGGACUGUGCCGCCGGUGUACGGUUUUGGUCGGGGAUUUAGCCCCGACUGGCAGGCCGUAGUGCGGUAGUGCAAUCAGCACGGCGGGGUCGCACAAGGGUCAGGUCCCAGACACUGCAAUACACCAGUGAAUAUACUAA